This is a long non-coding RNA of Portunus trituberculatus (swimming crab), 291 nucleotides long. RefSeq lists it as uncharacterized. Lineage: Eukaryota; Metazoa; Arthropoda; Malacostraca; Decapoda; Portunidae. The transcript has 3 exons. The record is from RefSeq and is a predicted model, not a curated record.
UGUGAUGCGUAAGAGUUCUUUAUCGCCAGUCAUCCGCGGGCACAAGCUUAGGUAGCGCAUUUUAUUCACAUAUACGGGAAACUUAACACCUGAAAAGAGUACAAAGUUCCAGGAAGGGGCUUAAGCCAGCACAGGGCGGCACAGUGACUUGUAGCUUUGCCUUACGUGUGGGUGACCUGGACAGCGUUCGAGACUGAAUUCGACACAUGGUUCGGCUCACGGUUCGACUCAAGUAAAUGUGUCACAGCGUGGGUAGGUAGCUGUGUGCUGUGGCCGUGCUGUGAUGUAUCG